GAGAUGUGGGUAGUCCGUACGAGCGCACCCUUGUCCUUAUUUGCCAGCACGUAAUGGUGGGAACUCUAAGGAGACUGCCGGUGACAAACCGGAGGAAGGUGGGGACGACGUCAAGUCAUCAUGGCCCUUAUGACCAGGGCUACACACGUGCUACAAUGGAGCGUACAGAGGGUUGCUAAGCCGCGAGGUGGAGCCAAUCCCAGAAAACGUUUCGUAGUCCGGAUCGAAGUCUGCAACUCGACUUCGUGAAGUCGGAAUCGCUAGUAAUCGCGAAUCAGCAUGUCGCGGUGAAUACGUUCCCGGGCCUUGUACACACCGCCCGUCACACCAUGGGAGUGGGUUGCAAAAGAAGUGGCUAGUCUAACCUUCGGGAGGACGGUCACCACUUUGUGAUUCAUGACUGGGGUGAAGUCGUAACAAGGUAGCCCUAGGGGAACCUGGGGCUGGAUCACCUCCUU
This 458-nucleotide ribosomal RNA is filed under the name uncultured Gammaproteobacteria bacterium. RNAcentral's name for it is "bacterial SSU rRNA". It matches the Rfam family "Bacterial small subunit ribosomal RNA", at positions 1069 to 1532 of the family's 1533-position model. Lineage: Bacteria; Pseudomonadati; Pseudomonadota; Gammaproteobacteria. The record is from RNAcentral.